Molecule: long non-coding RNA, 1267 nt
Organism: Lycium ferocissimum
Lineage: Eukaryota; Viridiplantae; Streptophyta; Magnoliopsida; Solanales; Solanaceae
Exons: 2
Source: RefSeq, a predicted model, not a curated record
CAUCCAAUUGUUUUUUGUUUUGGAAUUAUUAUCUUUGGUUGCGUUUUGUCGGAACUUGAGAGUUUCAAUUGAUUUUGGACUCUGCUGACAUCUGAUAAGCAAGGGCUCACCAAUUUUUUGUGGUCCGUAGUGUACACGAUAUCUACUACUUGAGGCAGCCACCAAAACUCUGACAUGAACUACUUUUACGACAAUCAUUGGAUCACACAAAUUAUUUUACUCUCUCUUUUGUCCAUAUACUUAGUAAAAAUGUCAGUAAAAAUCUUAAUUUAACUUCUAUUUAUUUUUUUAAAUCGCCGUAAUCUCUCCCUCUCUCUGUAUAUAUAGGUCAUGGGGGGUGUAAAAGAAAAUCAAUGAGAUGAACAACUCAAUUUGCUCUCUCUACUAAGGUCGUGUUUGGUUGAAACACUGAAGUUCAGGUAAUCAUUUGUAGGAGCCAAUCAAGGCUCUGAAAUGCAUAUGAUAUUCAAGCGAUUAAUCAUCGGUGGAGAGAUUGUUGAACAAGAAGGCGAGUGGGAGAAAGAAAGAUAAAGAAUCCAAAUAGCAUACGUUUCUAGCUUUACAUUCGGAGGAUUAUUAAUCUAAGAAGAUUUUAAGAGUAUCUAAAAGAUUCAUAUAAAUCAGCGAGAUUCCAGCAUACGGUGAGAGAUUUGAGGCAACGGCAGCAACAAUGAUGAGGAAAGAGUCGGCGAAUGUGACCGGUACCGAACCUCAGAUGAAAAAUGAAGUGCAAUUUGCAAAGUGCGAGUGCUGUGGAUUGACGGAGGAGUGUACAGAGGCGUACAUAGCGAGAGUUCGGGAACGGAACCAAGGGAGGUGGAUAUGUGGACUAUGCGCGGAGGCGGUGAAGGACGAGAUGAUGAGAUCCAAGACAUCGGAGAGAAGGAUCGGAAGAGAUGAAGCUUUGAAUCGACACAUGACAUUUUGCAAGAAAUUCAGAGCAAAAAGUCUGCCACCCAAUCCGACAGACGAGUUGAUAUCAGCGGUGAAGCAGUUGUUGCUGAGGAGCUUGGAUUCGCCGAGGUCAAGCAGAGGAGGUCUUGCUCGAUCACAGAGUUGUUUUUCAGCUAUUGAUAGUUGAAUUUGAAUAGUUUUGGGACGAGUUUGGUAGCCUUGGAGGAAGUAAAUAGCAUUGGACUAGAAUAAUAAGUUUUGGUGUUUCAUUAUGCAUUGGUUGAAUUAGUUGUUGUUCUUGUUCUUGUUCUUGUUGUUUAGACAAUUAUUUAGUGAAAUAUAUAUCUAUAUGGAUUGUUUGUUGUUGAAUCAA